UGGGGAAUAUUGCACAAUGGGGGAAACCCUGAUGCAGCGACGCCGCGUGAGCGAAGAAGGUUUUCGAAUCGUAAAGCUCUGUCCUAUGAGAAGAUAAUGACGGUAUCAUAGGAGGAAGCCCCGGCUAAAUACGUGCCAGCAGCCGCGGUAAUACGUAUGGGGCGAGCGUUGUCCGGAAUUAUUGGGCGUAAAGGGUACGUAGGCGGUCUAUUAAGUCAGGUGUGAAAGCGUGAGGCUUAACCUCAUUAAGCACUUGAAACUGAUAGACUUGAGUGAAGGAGAGGAAAGUGGAAUUCCUAGUGUAGCGGUGAAAUGCGUAGAUAUUAGGAGGAAUACCGGUGGCGAAGGCGACUUUCUGGACUUUUACUGACGCUCAGGUACGAAAGCGGGGGGAGCAAACAGG
Molecule: ribosomal RNA, 403 nt
Filed under: Verrucomicrobiota bacterium
Lineage: Bacteria; Pseudomonadati; Verrucomicrobiota
Description: Verrucomicrobia bacterium partial 16S ribosomal RNA
Rfam family: Bacterial small subunit ribosomal RNA
Source: RNAcentral